GUGCCCAGGCGCGAAAACUUUACAAUGCCGGCAACGGCGAUAAGGGAACCUCGAGUGCCAGGUUACAAAUCUGGCUGUCGUGAUGCCUAAAAAGCAUUGCAUAGCAAGGGCCGGGCAAGACCGGUGCCAGCCGCCGCGGUAACACCGGCGGCUCGAGUGGUAACCGUUAUUAUUGGGUCUAAAGGGUCUGUAGCCGGCCGGGUAAGUCUCUUGGGAAAUCUGGCAGCUUAACUGUCAGGCUUUCAGGAGAUACUGCCUGGCUCGAGGCCGGGAGAGGUGAGAGGUACUUCAGGGGUAGGGGUGAAAUCUUGUAAUCCUUGAAGGACCACCAGUGGCGAAGGCGUCUCACCAGAACGGACCUGACGGCAAGGGACGAAAGCUAGGGGCACGAACCGGAUUAGAUACCCGGGUAGUCCUAGCCGUAAACGAUACUCGCUAGGUGUCGGCCACGGUGCGACCGUGGUCGGUGCCGUAGGGAAGCCGUGAAGCGAGCCACCUGGGAAGUACGGCCGCAAGGCUGAAACUUAAAGGAAUUGGCGGGGGAGCAC
This 548-nucleotide ribosomal RNA is filed under the name uncultured archaeon. RNAcentral describes it as "bacterial SSU rRNA". It matches the Rfam family "Archaeal small subunit ribosomal RNA", at positions 330 to 879 of the family's 1478-position model. The record is from RNAcentral.